UACGUAGGUGGCGAGCGUUGUCCGGAUUUAUUGGGUUUAAAGGGUGCGUAGGCGGCCAUGUAAGUCAGUGCUGAAAUAUCCCGGCUUAACCGGGAGGGUGGCAUUGAUACUGCGUGGCUAGAGUACAGAUGAGGUAGGCGGAAUUGACGGUGUAGCGGUGAAAUGCUUAGAUAUCGUCAAGAACACCGAUAGUGUAGACAGCUUACUAGACUUCAACUGACGCUGAGGCACGAAAGUGUGGGGAUCAAACAGGAUUAGAUACCCCGGUAGUCC
This 273-nucleotide ribosomal RNA is filed under the name uncultured bacterium. RNAcentral's name for it is "partial 16S ribosomal RNA". It matches the Rfam family "Bacterial small subunit ribosomal RNA", at positions 524 to 796 of the family's 1533-position model. The record is from RNAcentral.